GAUGAAGAACGUAGCGAAAUGCGAUACGUAGUGUGAAUUGCAGAAUUCCGUGAAUCAUCGAAUCUUUGAACGCAUAUUGCGGUCGAGGCUUCGGCCAAGACCAUGUCUGCCUCAGCGUCGGUGUGAACCCUCACUCCCCCUCACGGGUGGAGUGGACCUGGCCUCCUCAGCCCCCGCGGCUGGGUUGGCUGAAAUUCGGAGGCUCCCGCUCGGGCCUGUAUGGCAGCAGCAAGGUAGGUAGUUUACUACUCCGGCUGAUGCUUUGGGCACGCGACAUGAGCCCGCAGGAAAUUCUCACCUUUUCGACCUGAGAUCAGGCAAGGCUACCCGCUGAACUUAAGCAUAUCAAUAAGCGGAGGA
RNAcentral lists this unclassified non-coding RNA (360 nucleotides) under soil metagenome. RNAcentral describes it as "partial contains 5.8S ribosomal RNA, internal transcribed spacer 2, and large subunit ribosomal RNA". The stretch from base 1 to 120 matches the Rfam family "5.8S ribosomal RNA", at positions 35 to 154 of the family's 154-position model. The record is from RNAcentral.